This 713-nucleotide long non-coding RNA is filed under the name Pan troglodytes (chimpanzee). RNAcentral describes it as "lincRNA". Lineage: Eukaryota; Metazoa; Chordata; Mammalia; Primates; Hominidae. The record is from RNAcentral.
CCUCCCCAACCCACACACCAUCAACCCCCAAACCCUCUCGCUGUGGCUUAGAGGUAUCUCUGACAACGUGGCACACUGGGAAGGCCUUCUUUCCUGCUACCAAUACAAAUGCAUUCUGAAUUUGAUAUUUCAUUAAAUGUAAAAAUACAGCCAAUUUGAAACGAGCAAAUGGAAAUUCCCAGGAGCCAAAAACAGAAAGAAAAAUCAGAGCUACCGCAGUGCUGUCCCUGCAGACAGAAUUUGGGAGAGGUACUCAUAGUCACCUCCUGUGAGCCUAUGCAAGCCAGCUCCUGCACAACCCUGGUUUUACUCCAGCCUUCUGCAGAAUUCCACAUUAAACAGGAUGAAGAAUAGGUUGUUAGCAGACUGAGGUACUUGGGGCAACAUUUCGUACACAACAGGAGGGAGAAACGACUCCAGGUUGUCUUGUGGUAGAGGAGAUUUUGCCUUGCAAUUUUACAUACUUAUGCUACGUGGAAGGCUGGGUGGCGUGACUUCAGAAAAAUGUUUUCUCAGGAAAGAGACAGAGAGAGAGAGAGAGAAAGAGAGAAAGAGAGAACCCACCUACCUGUUUUGCAAAAGUCUCAUGAAUCAUCCCUUCCUGUGGUCCUGCUCCCUGAGAUCCUUUCACCGCUCACAGUGGGCUACUUCUAAGAGCGUGCCUGGCACAGGGUCACUGAGAGCAUAGUCUUAAUAAAACAAUGAUGGAUGCU